This 75-nucleotide transfer RNA is filed under the name bacterium. RNAcentral describes it as "tRNA-Pro". It matches the Rfam family "tRNA". From Rfam's summary of the family: Transfer RNA (tRNA) molecules are approximately 80 nucleotides in length. Their secondary structure includes four short double-helical elements and three loops (D, anti-codon, and T loops). RNAcentral also lists the same sequence under 2 other names. The record is from RNAcentral.
CGGGGUGUAGCGCAGCCCGGUUAGCGCACCUGCUUUGGGAGCAGGGGGUCGGAGGUUCAAAUCCUCUCACCCCGA